Lolium rigidum is the source of this 944-nucleotide long non-coding RNA. RefSeq lists it as uncharacterized. Lineage: Eukaryota; Viridiplantae; Streptophyta; Magnoliopsida; Poales; Poaceae. The transcript is spliced from 2 exons. The record is from RefSeq and is a predicted model, not a curated record.
CUGGCGUAGUAUUUUCGCAGCGCGUGGGCAGUGACACACACGGCUGAUACAACUGUACUAGUCACGUGUGUCUGGCGUUGCACGCUGUGGAUAAUUUCUGACCACCAGUUUGGCUGGAGCCCACUUAGUGCUCGCGUGUGCAGUUCUUCCCUACAUUGUUAGUGAAGAGGGAGAAAGCGCUACACCAGCUAGAAUGUGCUUGCCGCUGUGGACUUCGAAAUGAAGUUCACAUGUGUGCUUGAUGGGUGAGAAGGAUCAUCCUAUGAUGUCUGGCUGACAACUUGGAGAGAGCUGAUGGCCUGAAGGUCCCUGAGGGUAAGUUCUACCUUGAUGAUGCCGACUAUGCUUGCCGCCCUGGUUUUCUACCACCCUUCAGGUCCACAAGGUACCACAUCAAUUAUGAGUUAUCUGCAAGUUCUAUCCCAAGAAUGCCAGAGAACUCUUCAAUCUCAGUCACUCUAGCCUCAGGGUCACCGUUGAGAGGGCAUUUGCAGCUCUGAAGAACAGAUUUAAGAUCCUUGAACAAAAGCAUUUCCACACCUUCUCUACCUAGGUUAAGCUAGUGCUAGCUUGUUGCAUUCUCCAUAACUUUAUCUUAGGCUGAGAUGUUGAUUCUUUCUUCCCGAACAAGAAUCAGGUCCAACCUGACGAGGUUGACGUUAGCCAUGGUGUUGCUGCCACCGAUAACGUGGCCUGGAAAAACAAGAGGCAUCAGUGGGCGGACACUAUGUGGGCUGACAGAGGCCAUACCAGGAUAUGAAGAAGAAGAGAAGAAUUGCCAUCAUGUGUGUUGUGACAUGAACUACUCCCAGUUAUGUGUCAUGAACUCUUUGUGCGCCCUGAACUACCAUUCGUGAUUAGCUAGGGCUUAACUUGUUGUGUUGAACUGCUAUUUGGAAGUAGUAAGAACUGAAAGACGUUAUAAUAAUACUUCUUGUUAGUUU